GAUCUUGCAGCACGGAUCGUGUCAGGAGACACGGGCCGUGUUUGGCUCCAGGAUUUUGCUUUUUUAUUUUAUUUUUUUCUUUAACUCUUCCGUCCUCAUCCAUGUCAUGAUUAGAGAGGCAUCUUGGCCUAGGAAGAUUCACAAUUAUCUCAGAAAGAUCCAUUGGCAAUCAGUGCAAUCAGUUCCUGAUCAGUUUGCCCUAAAACUAGGGUUUGGUAUAAAAUCAGUUUAUUUCUGAUUCUUUGGGUGAAACUCUU
This 257-nucleotide long non-coding RNA is filed under the name Lathyrus oleraceus (garden pea). Its description in RNAcentral is "Pisum sativum (pea) long non-coding RNA (PSAT_LNC024522)". Lineage: Eukaryota; Viridiplantae; Streptophyta; Magnoliopsida; Fabales; Fabaceae. The record is from RNAcentral.